UACGUAGGGGGCAAGCGUUGUCCGGAUUUAUUGGGCGUAAAGAGCGUGUAGGCGGUUAGGUAGGUCCGUUGUGAAAACUCGAGGCUCAACCUCGAGACGCCGAUGGAAACCAUCUGACUAGAGUCCGGAAGAGGAGAGUGGAAUUCCUGGUGUAGCGGUGAAAUGCGCAGAUAUCGGGAGGAACACCGGUGGCGAAGGCGGCAUCCUGGACCGGCAUUGACGCUGAGGAGCGAAAGCCAGGGGAGCAAACGGG
Molecule: ribosomal RNA, 253 nt
Filed under: uncultured bacterium
Lineage: Bacteria
Description: partial 16S ribosomal RNA
Rfam family: Bacterial small subunit ribosomal RNA
Source: RNAcentral